RNAcentral lists this ribosomal RNA (470 nucleotides) under uncultured bacterium. RNAcentral's name for it is "bacterial SSU rRNA". It matches the Rfam family "Bacterial small subunit ribosomal RNA", at positions 330 to 793 of the family's 1533-position model. The record is from RNAcentral.
ACAGUACUCCUACGGGAGGCAGCAGUGGGGAAUAUUGCACAAUGGGCGCAAGCCUGAUGCAGCCAUGCCGCGUGUGUGAAGAAGGCCUUCGGGUUGUAAAGCACUUUCAGUCGUGAGGAAGGUAGUGUAGUUAAUAGCUGCAUUAUUUGACGUUAGCGACAGAAGAAGCACCGGCUAACUCCGUGCCAGCAGCCGCGGUAAUACGGAGGGUGCGAGCGUUAUCCGGAUUUAUUGGGUUUAAAGGGUCCGUAGGCGGAUUAAUAAGUCAGUGGUGAAAUCCCAUCGCUUAACGAUGGAACUGCCAUUGAUACUGUUAGUCUUGAAUGAGGGUGCAGUGGUUGGAAUGUGUAGUGUAGCGGUGAAAUGCAUAGAUAUUACACAGAACACCGAUUGCGAAGGCAGAUCACUAACCCUAAAUUGACGCUGAGGGACGAAAGCGUGGGAGCAAACAGGAUUAGAUACCCUGGUAG